UACAAAUAUAUACAAGAAAUAAUGAUAUUUAAUUAUCUUGGGUUCUGCUUGUUGGUUUAUGAUACUUUUUCCCUGACUUUAUAUCAGAGAAAAGCCCCUGUGUCUCUAGUAGGCUACUAGUAGUUCGACAGGUGACGAUUAUUAUCAUAUUACAACAUAUAGGCUAACAUAACACUUGCAGAACUAGUAUGGUUCGAUGCUGAAUUAAUAUAAACGAGUAUGUUUAUGACAUUCAGUAUAUAGUUCAUAAUUUCCAGUCUUAAUAUAAAUCCGUCUGACCGUGUAGGUCAGUUGGUAGAGCGUCGAUCUAGUAAUUCGAAGGUCGCGGGUUCAAUACCCAGCCGCGGCAGACAAUAUAUUUCUGCUUGGGCAGUUGCGCUGGGUAUGGAAAUUAUG
Non-coding RNA from Paramuricea clavata, 396 nucleotides. NCBI's taxonomy places the organism in Eukaryota, Metazoa, Cnidaria, Anthozoa, Malacalcyonacea, Plexauridae. The record is from the annotation of a GenBank genome assembly.